UACAGAGGUGGCAAGCGUUGUUCGGAAUUACCGGGCGUAAAGGGCUUGUAGGUGGCCAACUAAGUCAGACGUGAAAUCCCUCGGCUUAACCGGGGAACUGCGUCUGAUACUGGAUGGCUGGAGUGUGGGAGAGGGAUGCGGAAUUCCAGGUGUAGCGGUGAAAUGCGUAGAUAUCUGGAGGAACACCGGUGGCGAAGGCGGCAUCCUGGACCAUUACUGACACUGAAAAGCGAAAGCCAGGGGAGCAAACGGG
This 253-nucleotide ribosomal RNA is filed under the name uncultured bacterium. Its description in RNAcentral is "partial 16S ribosomal RNA". It matches the Rfam family "Bacterial small subunit ribosomal RNA", at positions 524 to 776 of the family's 1533-position model. The record is from RNAcentral.